This 253-nucleotide ribosomal RNA is filed under the name uncultured bacterium. RNAcentral's name for it is "partial 16S ribosomal RNA". It matches the Rfam family "Bacterial small subunit ribosomal RNA", at positions 524 to 776 of the family's 1533-position model. The record is from RNAcentral.
UACGGGGGGGGCAAGCGUUGUUCGGAAUUACUGGGCGUAAAGGGCGUGUAGGCGGCCAACUAAGUCCGACGUGAAAUCCCCAGGCUUAACCUGGGAACUGCGUCGGAUACUGGAUGGCUUGAAUCCGGGAGAGGGAUGCAGAAUUCCAGGUGUAGCGGUGAAAUGCGUAGAUAUCUGGAGGAAUACCGGUGGCGAAGGCGGCAUCCUGGACCGGCAUUGACGCUGAAGCGCGAAAGCCAGGGGAGCAAACGGG